UUGGGGACUAUAAUAAAACAAUACUGAAAGAAAGCAUGCAAAAUCCUCCAUGGACUAUCUCAAGGACACCAAGGACCCCAGGACCCCAGGAGACCAGUUUCUGUGAAACAUUUUGCCUCAGGACUACGACCAAGCUUUUGGACUUGUCAUGCAGACUCCACUGGAGUGGUUAGUGCUUUCCAUAUGUUGAUGGGUGUGGAGCAUUGGAAACCUACCAUAUCUUCAGAAAGAAGGAUUCUACUUCUCCCUGAAGCUGCCUACUAUGAAUAGAUGUUCAGUGUGAGAUAGAGCCUGGACCCUUGCCUGGAUGUUGGCUGGACUGAUCUCAUGCAGUUUACGUUCAAGUAACACAUCUGCUUUUCUUUCUACCUUCAGAGAACCAGGAAAUAAUUCAGAAGACCUUUGAGGUGAUAUAGUCAUUGGAUAAAAGGAAAUUGCAUCCUAGAUUCUCAUAGUUGAAAAAUCUCAACCAACACAAACCUAAUAUGGAUGUCCACUGGACUGUACAGAUCUACUAAGAAAGAUUUGACCAAAGAGAAUGACUUGAGGUUGAUACAGGUAAAAAUGGAGUCCCGUUUGUUAAUGCUUGUUUUCCUGUUGUCUAAGCACUCAUUUCAAGUGGAAUGCCUGAAGACACUGAAUCUCCAGCAACACGUCCUGCCAGAGGCUAAGCCUUUACUAUUUGGUCUGCCAGUUGUCAGGCAAGCUCAGGAUUAUGAAAGGUACAAUGACUUUGAUCCUAAAUAGCAUUCAAUUGUAAAACUGGAGAGGAUUAGGGAGCCCCAUAGAGAAGAAUUUAGGUUGUACAAGAGACAAAAUGUAAUUAUGUUCUUUUCAUUGCAGUUAAUGAUCUCCAAAUUAAUAGGUGUGUUGUCUUUAGGACAUCACCAAUUCAACUUCGAAUUUAGGAAUGAUAUUUAGAAUUGUUCUUUGCUGACCAUGUACAGUUUUGUUUCUAAGUUUUCAUUUACUUAUAUGUCAAAUAAAAGUAAGUGUAUGAUUAUUUUUAAA
This is a long non-coding RNA of Mus pahari (shrew mouse), 1011 nucleotides long. RefSeq lists it as uncharacterized. The record is from RefSeq and is a predicted model, not a curated record. The transcript is spliced from 4 exons. NCBI's taxonomy places the organism in Eukaryota, Metazoa, Chordata, Mammalia, Rodentia, Muridae.